UGCGCACUUGAGUUCCGGUCCGGUUUCCCACGGAGUUCCCCGCUUGGCGCUUGCUUGCGCGUCUUGGAGUACUGGUCGGGUUUCACCCCCAUCAGUUGGCGCCGUCUAUGAUUUAAAGAUACUCACGACAAAAGCUCCUCGACUUUUUCGAAAAAAGUGAUCGACUUUUUUCCAAGUCGCCAGCUAGGGAGUCUUGCGAGGAAAUCAG
This 208-nucleotide long non-coding RNA is filed under the name Zostera marina. RNAcentral's name for it is "long non-coding RNA (ZMAR_LNC002653)". Lineage: Eukaryota; Viridiplantae; Streptophyta; Magnoliopsida; Alismatales; Zosteraceae. The record is from RNAcentral.